AUAGCGUAUAUUAAAGUUGUUGCAGUUAAAAAGCUCGUAGUUGAAUUUCUGGCCGGCCCUGUUCUUGGCUCUCGUAGUCGGUGCAGGGCCUGGUCAUCCGUACGGGAAGCCAACUCGGCCUUCACUGGUCGGUUGGUGGAUCGUACACUUUACUUUGAAAAAAUUAGAGUGUUUCAAGCAGGCAAUUGCUUGGAUAUUACAGCAUGGAAUAAUGGAAUAGGACUUUGACCUAUUUGUUGGUUUCUCGAGGUCAAAGUAAUGAUUAAUAGGGACAGUUGGGGGCAUUCGUAUUUAAUUGUCAGAGGUGAAAUUCUUGGAUUUAUUAAAGACGAACUUAUG
This 339-nucleotide ribosomal RNA is filed under the name Colpodea sp. BioMarKs_Marine_Colpodea_OTU_5. RNAcentral describes it as "SSU rRNA". It matches the Rfam family "Eukaryotic small subunit ribosomal RNA", at positions 594 to 945 of the family's 1831-position model. Lineage: Eukaryota; Ciliophora; Colpodea. The record is from RNAcentral.